Molecule: ribosomal RNA, 403 nt
Filed under: uncultured bacterium
Lineage: Bacteria
Description: bacterial SSU rRNA
Rfam family: Bacterial small subunit ribosomal RNA
Source: RNAcentral
CAGCCCUUGACAUCCCGGUCGCGGCGAGUGGAGACAUUCGCUUUCAGUUCGGCUGGACCGGAGACAGGUGCUGCAUGGCUGUCGUCAGCUCGUGUCGUGAGAUGUUGGGUUAAGUCCCGCAACGAGCGCAACCCUCGCCCUUAGUUGCCAGCAUUCAGUUGGGCACUCUAAGGGGACUGCCGGUGAUAAGCCGAGAGGAAGGUGGGGAUGACGUCAAGUCCUCAUGGCCCUUACGGGCUGGGCUACACACGUGCUACAAUGGUGGUGACAGUGGGCAGCGAGCACGCGAGUGUGAGCUAAUCUCCAAAAGCCAUCUCAGUUCGGAUUGCACUCUGCAACUCGAGUGCAUGAAGUUGGAAUCGCUAGUAAUCGCGGAUCAGCACGCCGCGGUGAAUACGUUCCC